CAUGUUUGCAAAAUCGCUAAUUGGCAAAAUAUUCAUCCCCCGAGGAUCUACUCGCCACAUCUACCAUAAGGCCAAUGGAUCUGUGAUUGCAUUUCCGUCUUCAAAUAAAAUCCCCCGAAAGCACAUCUACGCCAUGGCGGCUGGAAUGUUCGUGGUCUGGGCAUCAAUGCCGUGUGUGGCUGUCUACAUGAUCAACGAAUACCGGAAGAAGCUGGGCGAUGAGUGAGCCCCAUCUUUACAUUGUUAAAUUACCGAGAAACCUGUGAAAAUAAAACCAAUCCUAUUUAACCUUCGA
This is a long non-coding RNA of Ochlerotatus camptorhynchus, 295 nucleotides long. RefSeq lists it as uncharacterized. The transcript is spliced from 2 exons. NCBI's taxonomy places the organism in Eukaryota, Metazoa, Arthropoda, Insecta, Diptera, Culicidae. The record is from RefSeq and is a predicted model, not a curated record.